GAUCUAACCAUGGAUUCAACAGGUUUCAUCGGGACUCGGGGGGCCGCAAGGAACCCUCUGAAGCUGAAGCUCGCUUCGGGUGGAAGGUUCACCUGGUAAGGAUCACACUAUCCCCACCUUUGAGGACUGCAGAUGGAUGUUUACGUGUGAUUUGUCCUUGUGCAUGGCUGUGGGAGAAGCUUCGAGAGGAAUUGGCUGCGCACCGACCUCAACGUGAUCGGGUUCGGUUUGAUCGGGUGGCUCGCGCCGUCGAGCAUUCCGGCGAUCGGUGGGAAGAGCUUGACGGGGCUCUUCUUCGAGAGCAUCGGCACUGAGCUGGCUCACUGGCCGACAGGCCCAGCUCUCACAUCGCAGUUCUGGUAAGAACUGGUUCCUUCCCGAGGACGACUAGGUUAGAUUCAUGGCUCAUCUUCUUGCUCUGAUCGAGUUGUUUGGGAUGAUGCUGCAGGCUGUGGAUGGUAACAUGGCACCUGGGGCUGUUCCUUUGCCUCACCUUCGGCCAGAUUGGCUUCAAAGGCAGGACCGAGGACUACUUCCCAUAGAAAGAUCUUGUAGACUCGGUGGUGGUUCCUCUCUUUGUAUAUGAGACUUGUUUCUCUCUUCUUCCUCUCCUCCUCUUCUUCUUCUUCUUCUUCCUCAGUUAUGCCAUCUCUGAUCUGUUGAGAUGUAAGGAGAUACAAAUGGACUGAAUGCAUACCACAGAUGAGAAGGGCAUCAAAUCUAAAACAGGUGUUGUGAGGUGUUAUUUUCCACCAGUAUGUGUGUAUCUCUUGGCGUAUGAUAAUUAGAUUAUUGGUUCCAAAAUGCAUCAGAUUCUUCAAAUAUUAGAUCUGGAAAUGCCAUAUCAAUGGAUGUCCAAAUAGAGAUCAAAAGCCAAAAUGAGCAGAUUACAUCUUUAUUAAGAUAAAUUAUUGUAGCAGCCACCCACAGGUUUUCUUCAUAAGCUCAUCAAUCUGAAGAGUCAGAUUAGUGCUUUUAAGCUUUGAGAGAUGUGAGUGACAAUUUAUAGAUUUGGCAAUUUGGAUUCCAUAUUUAUGGAUUCCAAAUAUUGCCUGAUUUAUAGAUU
This 1066-nucleotide long non-coding RNA is filed under the name Musa acuminata (dwarf banana). RNAcentral's name for it is "long non-coding RNA (MACU_LNC003077)". The record is from RNAcentral. Lineage: Eukaryota; Viridiplantae; Streptophyta; Magnoliopsida; Zingiberales; Musaceae.